GCUUUUGUAGACAUAUAACAUAUUAAGAAGACAUUUCAUACAUGUAGAGAAGAUGCUUCAGGAUAUGAUUUCCACCUCUAUAAACCCAAAAAUGCACAUUGUUGAUGAAAUAAUCCAAUUGGCACUUAUUGAGGAUGUUACUUAAUGACUAUUUACAGUGGAAGGUGAAUAGAAGGAGUUAUUCAGCCUCUUGUUUUUCAUGGCUAAUCUUCAAUGUUACAUUCCACAGAAUAAUUGAUAAUUACUGAACAAUUAAAAGUCAAAAUAGCUAAAACGUGAUAUAUUUGAAAGGUUGAAGAUGGUUGAUACUUGCCUUUAAUAUUCGUGUACUCAUUUAUUUAUGGUUCCUUGAAAAAUCUGCUUUGCCAUUUGUAAUUGUUAUCUGAAACUUUCUGAUGAUACAAUACCUGCCUCAGGGGCCUUUUAUUGCAGCCUUUGGGAAAAAUAGGGUAAAAAGUCACAUUAAUAGAAAAGGGUCAUGUAUGUCUGGUUUUUGAGAAUGACUCCAUUCCACCUUUUGAAUUAAGUAUUGGCUAAGAUAUGUUCCUAAUUUGUGUUUAGAUUCUGUAUUAAAUGCCAUGACUAAAGCUAACUUGGUGAGAAAGUGGUUUAUUUCAUCUUAUAGGUUAUAAUUGAUCAAGAGAAGCCAGGAUAAAGGCUAGACUAGGAACCUGGAAGCAGGGACUAAGGAAGAAAAUGGAGAAAUGAUACCUGGUGAAUUGCUUUUCUUGGCUUAGCUUCCUUCAUACAACCUAGGACCAUGUUCCAAGGGGUGGCACUGCCCAAAGUGGUCUAUGUCCUCAUAUAUCAGUAAUUAAUAAAGAAAAUACUUGACAGAAAUGGCCAGAGUCCAACCUGAUGAAUGUGAAGGGUCUCUCUUCUCAGGAAACUCUAGUUUGUGUCAAGUUAAAAGAUCUAUCCAUAUCAUUUGUCAUCUGAAAGGGACAAGAUAUUGUAAAAUUACAGCAUAAAUUUAUCGUUUAUUGUAUAUGAUGGAGCAUUCUGUGGGGUAAAAGCAAUUAAGUUGGAAAGAAAUGAUCUACCAUCUGAUCAUUGGAUACAGAAACUGCCACAAAAUUAGGAUACUGCACUUUUUGUGAAAUAAGAACAGUAGGCUAUUAGGGAUGUGGUGUUUGUCAAAUAAACUGCAGAAGACUUAGUGAACUUCUUUGAGUAACAACAGGUUUCAUAUUAGGAAAUAAUAAUUUUUCUUACUUUUAAAAUUAAAGUGAAAAACAUUAUUAGAAUGGAACUUAUCUCAAAGAAAUUUUAGGGGCUGUGUAUGUAGCUAGAAAAGAAACACUUGUGUCAUGCAUGUGAGGCCCUAAGUUCAAUGUUCAGCAGCACCAAAAGUAAAAAAAAAUACACAAAACGUUUCUUAAGAGUGACAUCAUUUAACUAUUGUUGUUAAGUUUGUCCACUGUCUUAUUCAAAAUAUAUCAUUAAUUGAACUUGUAACUAAUGAAAGUAAAGCUUUUAUUUUCC
Molecule: long non-coding RNA, 1485 nt
Filed under: Mus musculus (house mouse)
Lineage: Eukaryota; Metazoa; Chordata; Mammalia; Rodentia; Muridae
Description: long non-coding RNA chr17:21027366-21028851
Source: RNAcentral